UGGGGAAUCGUCUAGUGGUAGGACACGUGAUUCUGGAUCACGGUGCGAAGGUUCGAAUCCUGGUUCCCCAGCCA
This 74-nucleotide transfer RNA is filed under the name subsurface metagenome. RNAcentral's name for it is "tRNA-Gln". It matches the Rfam family "tRNA". From Rfam's summary of the family: Transfer RNA (tRNA) molecules are approximately 80 nucleotides in length. Their secondary structure includes four short double-helical elements and three loops (D, anti-codon, and T loops). Further hydrogen bonds mediate the characteristic L-shaped molecular structure. tRNAs have two regions of fundamental functional importance: the anti-codon, which is responsible for specific mRNA codon recognition, and the 3' end, to which the tRNAs corresponding amino acid is attached (by aminoacyl-tRNA synthetases). tRNAs cope with the degeneracy of the genetic code in two manners: having more than one tRNA (with a specific anti-codon) for a particular amino acid; and 'wobble' base-pairing, i.e. permitting non-standard base-pairing at the 3rd anti-codon position. The record is from RNAcentral.